RNAcentral lists this long non-coding RNA (643 nucleotides) under Heterocephalus glaber (naked mole-rat). RNAcentral describes it as "lncRNA (ENSHGLG00000033200.1)". Lineage: Eukaryota; Metazoa; Chordata; Mammalia; Rodentia; Bathyergidae. The record is from RNAcentral.
GCGGGGCCUGCCGCGGGGCGGGGCCGGCGCCGGGCACAGGAAGCGCUGGGAGGCCUGAGCCGUCCCAGGGUGCCCCGCGCGGCGUGGACUGGGGCUGCUGCCGCCAUCCCGCUGGCGAGAGCGAGAGAGAGGCCCGCCUGCUCGCCGGCCAGGCCAGUGUGGGCGAGUGCGUGAAGGCGCGGGGGACCGUGUCAGCGAGACGCAGAGCGCAGCCACCACCCCCAAACGGACAUGUUGGAGCCCAGCGCCGCCGCCGCCUCCUUUUCCUCGCCCAGCGAACGGGACUGAGAAGGAGCCCGCCACCCCUCCGCCUCUGCCUCUGCUCGGCCGCCCGCCUCGCCGUCUCGGCCUCAGCCGCUUCCUGCCCGGCCUCGGGCUCCGCCACUCGUCGUCUUCCCCGUCGGUUCCCGGCCCCGCUCCGCCGCGGCGCGAGGUCUAUGUGACCGGCGGGCCGGGAGCAGCCACCGCCGCAACGCGAACAUGGACGCCGUCAACGCCUUCAACCAGGAGACAUGGUCUUAUAAAGUUACCCAGGCUGGCCUCAAACUUUUGAUUCUCCUGCCUCAGCCUCCUGAGUAGCUGGGAUUACAGUUUGUUUCAGAAAAAGUCACCUUGAACACAUGACAAAGAAUCAACUCAGGAA